NUCAAGCUGACGAGUCCCAAAUAGGACGAAAUGCACAUCCUGGAU
This 45-nucleotide non-coding RNA is filed under the name Trichobilharzia regenti. The record is from RNAcentral. Lineage: Eukaryota; Metazoa; Platyhelminthes; Trematoda; Strigeidida; Schistosomatidae.